CCUACGGGAGGCAGCAGUGAGGAAUAUUGGUCAAUGGGCGGGAGCCUGAACCAGCCAAGUCGCGUGAGGGAAGAAGGUCCUAUGGAUUGUAAACCUCUUUUGUCAGGGAACAAAGGUGGGCACGAGUGCCUGGUUGUGUGUACCUUAUGAAUAAGCAUCGGCUAACUCCGUGCCAGCAGCCGCGGUAAUACGGAGGAUGCGAGCGUUAUCCGGAUUUAUUGGGUUUAAAGGGUGCGUAGGUGGGUUGUUAAGUCAGAGGUGAAAGUUUGGGGCUCAACCCUAGAAUUGCAGUUGAAACUGGAGGACUGGAGUAGGGUAGAGGUAGGCGGAAUGCGUGGUGUAGCGGUGAAAUGCUUAGAUAUCACGCAGAACUCCGAUUGCGAAGGCAGCUUACUAGGCCCCCACUGACACUGAGGCACGAAAGCGUGGGGAUCAAACAGGAUUAGAUACCCGGGUAGUC
RNAcentral lists this ribosomal RNA (460 nucleotides) under uncultured bacterium. Its description in RNAcentral is "partial 16S ribosomal RNA". It matches the Rfam family "Bacterial small subunit ribosomal RNA", at positions 338 to 795 of the family's 1533-position model. The record is from RNAcentral.